This is a non-coding RNA of Pelobates cultripes (western spadefoot toad), 226 nucleotides long. The record is from the annotation of a GenBank genome assembly. Lineage: Eukaryota; Metazoa; Chordata; Amphibia; Anura; Pelobatidae.
CUCCUUCUCAAGUAGUGUUCUUGUUUAUAUGACUAAUCAAAUCUUCUGCAUUUAAAAUUAACUUUUCAAUUAUUAUUAUUCUCAUUUUUAAAGUAUGAAUUGUGCAGUAAUGUAAUACUAAUUAUGAUCGAUGACCAAACCUUUUGUGAAUUGGGCUAACAAAGGACAUUGUGAGUUGUGGACAUCAUGUUACACAUGCUGUGUAGAGAGAGGAUGGGAAACCCUG